CACUCACCUGGAGGUCUCCUCGGCAUACUUCCAACCCCCCCUGCCGGAGAGGGAUAUCCCGGCAACAAAAACCUGAGACGCAACGACUAAAACACAGAGGUGACUGUCCUGCACAGCACCAACAAACAUCGGGUCACUGAGAAGCAGCUAAGAUGGCUUCCAAGCGAAGGCCCCAAAAACGAAGCACACAAGCCCAACCAACCACGAACCCCCUGG
Molecule: non-coding RNA, 216 nt
Organism: Pelobates cultripes (western spadefoot toad)
Lineage: Eukaryota; Metazoa; Chordata; Amphibia; Anura; Pelobatidae
Source: the annotation of a GenBank genome assembly